UGCUCUCAUGCUAGCCCUCCCUCCUCUCUUCUUCUUCUGCUUCUUUUCCCUGCCACCUUCUCUCCGCGAUCAGCUUCUUCUCCCCGUUUUGUGGCAGAUUACUGUAACGCUAUUGUACAACAACUUCCUGCCUCUUUUGGCUCCGCUUCUAAAAAACACUGAGAAAAGGGCAGAGCUCGUGGGCUCAAACUUUUUUCUUCUCCUUCUUCUUCCCCCCCUCUCCUUUCCCUUCGGCCUCAAACCAGAGCAGCUUCUAUACGGAGAGGAAAAAGGACAUGUUAAAAAAAAAACAACCAAAAAACAGAGAGAGUCUGUUACAGAGGAACUAUUCUGAUUUCAUUUCUGCUUUCUAAACUGCUGGCUCGGGGAGUUGAGGAGGGCGAGCGGGGACUAGCAGAGACAAUGGGAGGAAAAAAAAAAGAAAAGGAUUUCAAAAGAACCCGAGGAGGAAGAGGAGCAGAGGAGAGGCUGGAGACGGAGGACCUGCUCGACAGCAGAGCUCAGAGUGGACAACCCUGCCUGGGAGGGACGCGCCCUCACUGAAGCCACCGACUACUUUUGGCAGCCCCCCUCAGGAGCCGGCCACAUUGUGCCGGACCGGCACCGCGUUCAAGCGUCAGGCUCAACGUGACGCAGUUCAGGCAGCAGAUCCACAUGAGUGUCGCCAAUGUCUCAUUUAGAAGCGUUAAUAAAGACAAUUUAAACACGAAUUAACGCGUUCCUCUGACGCAGAGGAGAUCGAAAUUGUUUUUACAAUCAAGCACAAAGUUUUGUGAAUUUUUUAUUUAUUUACUGUGACUCAGCAAGGGGAUAGCGCAAUUUAAACACGUUACUACAAAGAUUUGAAACAAAAAUGUAAGACAUAAUCUACAGUUUUAAUUUAAAAGAGGAAAGCAAUAACAUUCCUACUGCUGGUAAAAUAAAACAAGGAGGAUUAUAGCUAAAAGGAUUACAUUCCUUUAAUCUUUUGUAUGUUGACACUUGGUAACUUAAAUAAAUGCUUGCUAUGUAGAAAAUCA
Molecule: long non-coding RNA, 1019 nt
Organism: Xiphophorus couchianus (Monterrey platyfish)
Lineage: Eukaryota; Metazoa; Chordata; Actinopteri; Cyprinodontiformes; Poeciliidae
Exons: 2
Source: RefSeq, a predicted model, not a curated record